RNAcentral lists this ribosomal RNA (253 nucleotides) under uncultured bacterium. RNAcentral's name for it is "partial 16S ribosomal RNA". It matches the Rfam family "Bacterial small subunit ribosomal RNA", at positions 524 to 776 of the family's 1533-position model. The record is from RNAcentral.
UACGUAGGGGGCAAGCGUUGUCCGGAUUUAUUGGGCGUAAAGAGCGUGUAGGCGGCCAGAUAGGUCCGUUGUGAAAACUGGAGGCUUAACCUCCAGCUGUCGAUGGAAACCAUCUGGCUAGAGUCCGGAAGAGGAGAGUGGAAUUCCUGGUGUAGCGGUGAAAUGCGCAGAUAUCAGGAGGAACACCGAUGGCGAAGGCAGCUCGCUGGGACGGUAUUGACGCUGAGACGCGAAAGCGUGGGGAGCAAACAGG